This 505-nucleotide ribosomal RNA is filed under the name uncultured bacterium. RNAcentral describes it as "partial 16S ribosomal RNA". It matches the Rfam family "Bacterial small subunit ribosomal RNA", at positions 28 to 507 of the family's 1533-position model. The record is from RNAcentral.
GACGAACGCUGGCGGCGUGCCUAAUACAUGCAAGUAGAACGCACAGUUUAUACCGUAGCUUGCUACACCAUAGACUGUGAGUUGCGAACGGGUGAGUAACGCGUAGGUAACCUGCCUGGUAGCGGGGGAUAACUAUUGGAAACGAUAGCUAAUACCGCAUAAUAUUAAUUGUUGCAUGAUAAUUAAUUGAAAGGUGCAAUUGCACCACUACCAGAUGGACCUGCGUUGUAUUAGCUAGUAGGUGAGGUAACGGCUCACCUAGGCGACGAUACAUAGCCGACCUGAGAGGGUGAUCGGCCACACUGGGACUGAGACACGGCCCAGACUCCUACGGGAGGCAGCAGUAGGGAAUCUUCGGCAAUGGACGAAAGUCUGACCGAGCAACGCCGCGUGAGUGAAGAAGGUUUUCGGAUCGUAAAGCUCUGUUGUAAGAGAAGAACGGGUGUGAGAGUGGAAAGUUCACACUGUGACGGUAUCUUACCAGAAAGGGACGGCUAACUACGUG